AAGAACAAGAGAGUGAGAGCACGAACACAAGUCAGCUGAUCCAAGAAGGACUUAGAUCAGGGGUUGGCAAACUUUUCUGGGCAUGGUAGUUCAUGCCUGUAAUCAUAGAACUUUGAGAGGCUGAGGUGGGCAGAUCACAAGGUCAAGGGAUGGAGACAAUUCUGGCCAACAUGGUGAAACCCUGUCUCUAC
Molecule: long non-coding RNA, 191 nt
Organism: Sapajus apella (tufted capuchin)
Lineage: Eukaryota; Metazoa; Chordata; Mammalia; Primates; Cebidae
Exons: 2
Source: RefSeq, a predicted model, not a curated record